AACACAUGCAAGUCGAGCGGUAGCACAGAGAGCUCUGCUCUCGGGUGACGAGCGGCGGACGGGUGAGUAAUGUCUGGGAAACUGCCUGAUGGAGGGGGAUAACUACUGGAAACGGUAGCUAAUACCGCAUAAUGUCGCAAGACCAAAGUGGGGGACCUUCGGGCCUCAUGCCAUCAGAUGUGCCCAGAUGGGAUUAGCUAGUAGGUGGGGUAAUGGCUCACCUAGGCGACGAUCCCUAGCUGGUCUGAGAGGAUGACCAGCCACACUGGAACUGAGACACGGUCCAGACUCCCUACGGGGAGGCAGCAGUGGGGGAAUAUUUGCACAAUGGGGCGCAAGCCCUGAUGCAGCCCAUGCCCGCGUGUGUGAAAAAAGGCCUUCGGGUUGUAAAAGCACUUUUCAGCCGGGGAAGGAAGGCGUUUAAGGUAAUAACCUUUGGCGAAUUGACGUUACCCCGCAGAAGAAAGCACCGGCUAACUCCGUGCCAGCAGCCCGCGGUAAUACGGAGGGUGCCAGCGUUAAUCGGAA
This 528-nucleotide ribosomal RNA is filed under the name uncultured Klebsiella sp. Its description in RNAcentral is "bacterial SSU rRNA". It matches the Rfam family "Bacterial small subunit ribosomal RNA", at positions 50 to 550 of the family's 1533-position model. Lineage: Bacteria; Pseudomonadati; Pseudomonadota; Gammaproteobacteria; Enterobacterales; Enterobacteriaceae. The record is from RNAcentral.